GACGAACGCUGGCGGCAUGCCUAAUACAUGCAAGUCGAGCGAACAGAUGAAGUGCUUGCACUUCUGACGUUAGCGGCGAACGGGUGAGUAACACGUAAGGAAUCUACCUAUAAGCGGGGGAUAACAUUCGGAAACGGGUGCUAAUACCGCAUAAUAUUUUCUUCCGCAUGGAAGAAAAUUGAAAGCAGGCUCUGCUGUCACUUAUAGAUGACGUUGCGGUGGAUUAGUUAGUUGGUGGGGUAACGGCCUACCAAGACGAUGGUGCAUAGCCGACCUGAUGGGGUGAUCGGCAACAUUGGGACUGAGACACGGCCCAAACUCCUACGGGAGGCAGCAGUAGGGAAUCUUCCGCAAUGGGCGAAAGCCUGACGGAGCAAUGCCGCGUGAGUGAAGAAGGCCUUCGGGUCGUAAAACUCUGUUAUAAGAGAAGAACAAAUUGUAGAGCAACUGCUACAGUCUUGACGGUAUCUUAUCAGAAAGCCACGGCUAACUACGUGCCAGCAGCAGCCGCCG
Molecule: ribosomal RNA, 513 nt
Filed under: uncultured bacterium
Lineage: Bacteria
Description: partial 16S ribosomal RNA
Rfam family: Bacterial small subunit ribosomal RNA
Source: RNAcentral